Molecule: long non-coding RNA, 3034 nt
Organism: Musa acuminata AAA Group (dessert banana)
Lineage: Eukaryota; Viridiplantae; Streptophyta; Magnoliopsida; Zingiberales; Musaceae
Exons: 4
Source: RefSeq, a predicted model, not a curated record
GCAUCGAAGUCCCGUAGAAUGUAUGAUAAUAAAAUGAUUAUUUGCUUUCCUUUUUUUUUUUCUUUUUACAAGAAAAUCUGUGUUUUGGUCUAGUAUUUAUUUCUUUUGUAUAUAUAAAGAGAUCGUGAUGACUUAUUUUUUAAGGACAAGACUUUAUUGUUCUAAUUUUGCUUCUCUUUUAUUCAUAUUUGGUGAGAGAGUAAUCGUCGGGCUAAUCGAUUCACUAAUUUAGCAAAUAAUUCAUAUUUGAUUAUAAUUGGAAGAAGAAUUUAUAAAUUAAUUUUUAAUUUAUAAUUUUUUUUUUCUUUUUUGGUAAUAAAAAGAAAAAUUGCUUCUAUUUUUAUAAUUUCUUUUUAUUCGAAUUUGUGAAAACACACGUCAACGCCGUCGGAUUCCGUGCACCCUUCGUCACGGUGUGUUUCUCACCGGUACUCCAGUCGUCACUUAAGUCGGACGGAAGGGGGCCGCUAUCCCCGUCGUCCUCUCUUUUGGCCGCUUCGAUGCACCGAUCAAGGGCAGCACAGCUUGGGAAUCCGUAGUCGGGUGAGCUGCAAAUCCAUUCCCUCCUCCUUCCUCUUUUCCAUUGGCUUGAUCUUGCGGCGAAAACUUCCUUCCUUUCGGCGUACUGCUGAUUACUCUCGGUCAGAUGUGAUCUUUUCUGCCUUCUUUUUUUACUGCCCCAGUCUCUGGCAUGAAUUGGAUAAAGAAAAGACGGCCACUUGUUGAAUGGAAUUAGGUAGUUUGGACAUCUGAAGAGAUACCUUUAAUCAUUGUUUCUGUGGCUUGCUGUUAGAAAUGAACUGUUAAUGAAGGCCGGCCUGAAGGACAAGGGAUUAUUUAGACUUCAGAAUGCAUACUUUGUAAUGAUUUCUUGUAGAACAUUGUCGCAUAACAUUCCAAUAUAGAUUUUCAAGUGAUAUUUGGUCCCAGUUUCUGUUGUUUUUCAACACUUACAAGAUGUUAGAAUGUUCAUCAAGAGUUAGUGUGGUUCAGCAAGAAAUGUGUUGGAAAGCAUAUGAUGUAGAUAGAAAAAACAUACUAGUAUUAGCAGCCAGUGUAUAUCAUGUAUGAUUUAAAAGGAACAUGAGUUUGCUUAAGAAUUGUAUUUGAACUUCUGAGUGUACGUGCAAUAGAGUUCAACUUUAGGUGUUUUGAUAAAGGGGAAUAUGCAGAUUUUAUAUCUUUGGUGAUAGAUUUAUAGCCUAUUUUGAUCUCUUAAUUGUAAUUGGAGUACAAUUGCACGUUCUGAAUUCCUGCAUGUUUCUGAUUGAAGAUGGCAUGAAAAAGUUCAGCAAAAGCAAGCGAUCACCAUCUUUUCUUAGACUAUCUCAACAAUGACAUGUUGUUUCUGUCAGAACCUUCUGGAAUGUACUCCUGGUAGUCAUUUGUUGUAACUCUGGCAUUUGGGUCUUCACCUAUUGAUCCCUUACCAUAUAUUUAAUUUCUGCAUCUAUGUACUUAUCAAUUUGGCAUGUGUCUAAGAAUAUUUCAAGCAUAAGAUAUGCGUAAAUUGGAAGAUGCCUCGAGUGUCUCUUCAAUAGUUAGCCCAUCAGGCCCGAGUCAUUAUAUUUGGUAUCAGAGCCGACCUAGCAUUUGGGCAUGGUGAGGGGGCUCGAGUAGGAAAGGGCUACCCGUAGACGGAGUCAGAGGACUCGUCACGGCGUGAAGCCACCACUGAGCUGCGCCUCACAUGCACUAUGCUAGGGCCUGAUCUGGGUUAUGUUGGGGCUUGACGAGGACGUCAAGCCUUUGAGUGGGGGUGAUUGUAACAUUCCUGAUUAGUCCCACAUCGAAAGUGGGCAAGACUAAGAUUGACUUAUAAGGGUCUGAUGAGUGUACUACUAUUAACUUCAGCUUAAGUAUUUUGGUCAGUGGUUUAGACUAAAACGAAGUUGAUAGGCCAGUUAGCCCAUCAGGCCCGAGUCAUUAUAUAAUUUAUGCUAAACUUCUGAUUCUGUAUCAUAUGAUCUUUAACAAAGUUGAAUCUAACAUAUGCAUUUCUCAAAACCAGACAGAACACCAUAAACUGUAGCUGAUAAUGAAUGGUGGGAAGCCACCGACAAGAAGUUUCAGGCCUGGCCUCGUACUGCAGGGCCACCAGUAGUGAUGAAUCCUAUAACCUGCCAAAACUUCAUUGUAAGAUCAACUGAAUCUUAAGAAAGUUGUCAGCUGGAUGGGAACAGGGAAGACACUAAAUAACUAGAAUUCUAACAGGAGUCUUCCUUGCCUCCCUAACUGAGUUCCCAUGGCUGCUUGCUCCAGCAGAUGACUGCUCGCUAAUGGCUCCCCCAGCAACCAGCUGUUGCCCGGUCCUGCUUAAGCCGCAGCUCUUCUCAGGUUUGUACUUACUCAUGGUUGUAUGAGUUGCAUCAUCCUUCAAACUGCUAUAGAUUUCCUCAGUGGCAGUUGCGAGGUUGCAUCAGUUUUACAUGUUAUAGUAGCCUGUGCAAUGCUUCGAACACCACCGAAGAAUUUGCAGCUGUUCGACCUGGUACGACGAUGGUGUUGCUGGACGAGGCGAUCUAAGUAACAUCAUAGUGAUGGAAUCUUAUCAUAAGUAGAUUCUUUUCUAUUAACUGAUAACUACUCAGAUUUAUAAUAUAUUUUACUUAAUUAAAUAGAAUCAUCUAAUCUAAUGAUACAAUGCAUACUGGGUCGGAGAAGUACUGGACUCCUGACCCUGAAACCGGCGUCUUCGUCCCCGACGAGCACAACGGUGGCAACCACAGCAAGAAUGAUCUCCGUAACACCCUGCAGCACACUGCUGGCGAUUGUUCAUUGGUGUUGGAGCAGACUACCUGGAUCCGGCAGCUCGAUGAAGUUGACAAGCCUCUCCCAAACCUGGAGGAGAAAUGAAGUUGGGCAGAGGUUUCAGUAAGUUGUUUUAGCUCUCACCUUCAUGGUUGUCUUGAGUUGUCUUGGUAGUAGCAGUUUGCAGGUUGCAUGAUUGCUAAAACUUCUCUUUUGGUUCGAACCUGCUUGACAAACAAGACAAAUAGUUCUGCCAAUGCAAUUGCCUGUCCCUCUUUGAGUU